GCGUUAAGUGCACCGCCUGGGGAGUACGUCUGCUAGGCUAUAAUCCAUAGGAAUUGACGGGGGCCCGCACAAUCGGUGGAGCAUGUGGCUUAAUUCGAUGCAACGCGAAGAACCUUACCAGGGCUUGAAAUAUAGCUGUAUAUGACCCGAAAGGGACAUAGCCUUCGAGGGUGCUAUACAGGUGCUGCAUGGCUGUCGUCAGCUCGUUCCGUGAGGUGUUGGGUUAAGUCCCGCAACGAGCGCAACCCCUGUCGUUAGUUGCCACCUGAGGAGAGAUCCUCAGAGCACUCUAGCGAGACUGCCCGUGACAAGCGGGAGGAAGGUGGGGAUGACGUCAAGUCAGUAUGGUCCUUAUGCCCUGGGCUGCACACGUGCUACAAUGGACAGUACAAAAGGAAGCAAAACCGCGAGGUCGAGCAAAUCCCCAAAACUGUCCCCAGUUCAGAUUGCAGUCUGCAACUCGACUGCAUGAAGCCGGAAUCGCUAGUAAAGGCGUAUCAGCUACGACGCCUUGAAUACGUUCCCGGGCAUUGUACACACCGCCCGUCACAUCAUGAGAGCCGAUUGCACCCGAAGUCACCGGGCUAACCUUAACUGGAGGCAGGUGCCGAAGGUGUGAUUGGUGAUUGGGAUGAAGUCG
This 640-nucleotide ribosomal RNA is filed under the name uncultured organism. RNAcentral's name for it is "bacterial SSU rRNA". It matches the Rfam family "Bacterial small subunit ribosomal RNA", at positions 857 to 1488 of the family's 1533-position model. The record is from RNAcentral.